Molecule: small RNA, 573 nt
Filed under: Drosophila ananassae
Lineage: Eukaryota; Metazoa; Arthropoda; Insecta; Diptera; Drosophilidae
Description: GF26674
Rfam family: Small nucleolar RNA Me28S-Cm2645 (bases 452-526)
Source: RNAcentral
UUUCUUGGCAUUCCCACCACGUGUUGCUAGAUCGAGGGAGAAAGAAUUAUAAAAACUUCAAAUAAAAAUGAUUUCCACGAAAGAAAUAAGUAAAACCGAAAUUCAACUAGAUGGCACUUACCAUGUCAAGCUCUGAAAGAUAGUCAUUAAACAAAGAAAUUUGGAAAUAUGUUUCUCGGAAACCUUGACAUUUUCUUUGAAAUCCCACAGAGGUGUCUUAGGUUGAGACUUCUGGGGACCAUAAUAGAAUCUUCCUAAGAAGACUGUUUUCUUGAUCUAACUCAAAAGAACUAUGGGAAAAUGGUUUAGAUAUUUGUGGUAACAAACCAAACGUUUUUAAACAUUCUUAAUUUUAUGGCAAGAAUAAAAAUGAAAGAAAGUGUGAUCUCAACUACCGACGAAUACUUCAAUAUUUGUAAGUAUUUUUAGAAAAAAUAAAGAAAUCCUAAUAAUUUUAAUGAUGAUAACUUAUGAUAGGGACAUCUGAUGUCUAUGACUGAUUUAUCAUGAUAGUAGAACUGAAAUUAUUUGUCAAAAUUGCUAUUGUUUACACUUAUACCUAUUUGAAUUAUA